Molecule: long non-coding RNA, 606 nt
Filed under: Helianthus annuus (common sunflower)
Lineage: Eukaryota; Viridiplantae; Streptophyta; Magnoliopsida; Asterales; Asteraceae
Description: hypothetical non coding rna
Source: RNAcentral
GGGGGUUGAUGUAUCCAAAACAAUAAAAGGCUUGGUUGGGUCUGGUACAUCUAUUUUCUUUUGGAUAGAUAUAUGGAACGGGGUUGAAACUUUAGCAGAAAAAUACCCACUAUUAUUUAGCUUGGAAUCAAACAAAUGGGCCGUAGUUGCGGAUAGGAUUGGGUCCACGGUAUCGGGUCAGAAUUGGAUUUGGGAUUGGAAAAGGCAGUUAAUGAGCCAACAAGAAUUUCAAGAACUGGGCCAACCACAAGCAUCAAUCGCUCAAGUAGCUGUCUCGGCCGAUCCGGACAAGUGGAAAUGAGAGAUGGAUGAGGCGGGUGAGUUUAGUGUCAAAAGUAUUAAACACUAGCUGAGUAGCUAAUGGCUCACACUUAUUCGGCUCCGGAUUAUCAUUUUCAAUAGAACAAUUGGGCGCUGUUGAAAGUGGCCAUCCUAGUUUUGCGAGCAUCAAGGAACCGACUCCCUACCAAAGAUUCGUUAAUCCGAAGAAAUAUUCCAGUUAACUCUGAUGUAUGUUUUCUAUGUGGAGAAUGGCCGGAAACUUGUGAACAACUUUUCGUUUCGUGUGGGUAAACUUUUAAGUAAUGAAUAAAAUUAGUUGGCCGU